Molecule: non-coding RNA, 236 nt
Organism: Ictidomys tridecemlineatus (thirteen-lined ground squirrel)
Lineage: Eukaryota; Metazoa; Chordata; Mammalia; Rodentia; Sciuridae
Source: RefSeq, a predicted model, not a curated record
GGGGACCCGCAGCACACUCCUGCACCGCGAGCGCCCCCUUGGCCUUCAGGAUUCCUGUGGGUUUGAAGAGGCCGAUGCUUGUGGCUCUUACCAACAUCAAUUUGCAGUCGCCAGGAUGCAACUUCACCCUAUGCUGCGUUCAUAAAUUAAUCUCCGGGGAUUAGAUUCUGUGUUUUUAGUAACACUCCUGAGGCAUUGUAUUUACACAUUAAUAAUAAAAGAAAAAAGUGAGACAA